This is a long non-coding RNA of Mustela erminea (ermine), 581 nucleotides long. RefSeq lists it as uncharacterized. The transcript has 3 exons. The record is from RefSeq and is a predicted model, not a curated record. Lineage: Eukaryota; Metazoa; Chordata; Mammalia; Carnivora; Mustelidae.
GAACGUUAAAAACAAAAAACUGCCAAGCAGGAUGGAGCCUUUGGGGGCCCAAGGUCCCUCCCACUGCACGGCAGGCCUGGCAAGGCCCCGCCCACCCAGCCUCAGUACCAGGCCGGCACCUGCAGACACGGCUCCCCGGCGGAGGGCACCUCGAUGCUGCAGGCAAGCCGAUGUGGGGCGGCCAGAGGCACCGGACAUCACGCCAAACAGCGGGAGCCCCGCAGACUCCCCUCCCCUGGGCCACCACUGACAGGCCGGGACAAGAGGGGACGUACUCGGAGAAGAGGCCUGGCACGAGGCGCCCAGCUCUGCAGAGGGACACCCCACAGGAGACACCGGUCAGUCUGCGGGCAGCAAGGGCACCCCAAGGCUGGGAGCCCUGCAUGAGGAAGACACGCCCCGCGAGCCGGCACAGGACUGCCCACAGCCCUGAUCCCAUCUGCCAGGUCUAGGACGCCCAGUGCGGUGGGCCCGUGACCUCUGACCUCACCCAUCUGCACGCCUGCCCCCAAGGCAGACUCGGGAGAAAUGGUGCCUCUGGCGCAGGAGGUGCAGCCGCCGGCCCUGGGUGCUCACCGGGA